Molecule: ribosomal RNA, 253 nt
Filed under: uncultured bacterium
Lineage: Bacteria
Description: partial 16S ribosomal RNA
Rfam family: Bacterial small subunit ribosomal RNA
Source: RNAcentral
UACGAGAGGCCCAAACGUUAUUCGGAUUUACUGGGCUUAAAGAGUUCGUAGGCGGCGCAGAAAGUAGGGUGUGAAAGCCCUCGGCUCAACCGAGGAAUUGCGCCCUAAACUACUGUGCUUGAGGAACCUAGAGGUGAGCAGAACUGAUGGUGGAGCGGUGAAAUGUGUUGAUAUCAUCAGGAACACCGGUGGCGAAGGCGGCUCACUGGGCCUUUACUGACGCUGAGGCACGAAAGCUAGGGGAGCAAACGGG